AGUAACACGUGGGUAACCUGCCCAUCAGAGGGGGAUAACAUUCGGAAACGGAUGCUAAAACCGCAUAGGUCUUCGAACCGCAUGGUUUGAAGAGGAAAAGAGGCACAAGCUUCUGCUGACGGAUGGACCCGCGGUGCGUUAGCUAGUUGGUGAGGUAACGGCUCACCAAGGCCGUGAUGCAUAGCCGACCUGAGAGGGUGAUCGGCCACAUUGGGACUGAGACACGGCCCAA
RNAcentral lists this ribosomal RNA (232 nucleotides) under uncultured bacterium. RNAcentral's name for it is "partial 16S ribosomal RNA". It matches the Rfam family "Bacterial small subunit ribosomal RNA", at positions 109 to 334 of the family's 1533-position model. The record is from RNAcentral.